CAGCACUCUUCGGGAAUGAUGUUUUAAAGGAUCGCAUACAGUUCACAAAAAACAAAGUGCCCUGCAAGUGUGCGCUGGGCUGGACCAACGUUGCUGGAAAUGUCCCCGAGCGAUCGAUCGGAGGCUCCCUUGCCCAGUCCUCUGCCUUCUCUGUUACCAAGUGGCGUCCACACUCACCUCUGCAGGUACUUGGGGAACACCGGCAAGUUCCAACACAACUGAGAAGGAAUGCCGCACGCUUGCUGCUUAUACUGAUGAUUCACGUCAGUGACGGCUAGAAAGAGGUGCUUGUUGGUGGACAGGGGAGUUGAGUCAGGCUCCGCCCCCCACAUAAGGAUUACGUAACCUCACCCAGCCCAGCCAUUAGGCGGACUCCUCACCCAGUGCC
RNAcentral lists this long non-coding RNA (388 nucleotides) under Ictidomys tridecemlineatus (thirteen-lined ground squirrel). Its description in RNAcentral is "lncRNA (ENSSTOG00000030091.1)". Lineage: Eukaryota; Metazoa; Chordata; Mammalia; Rodentia; Sciuridae. The record is from RNAcentral.